Molecule: ribosomal RNA, 253 nt
Filed under: uncultured bacterium
Lineage: Bacteria
Description: partial 16S ribosomal RNA
Rfam family: Bacterial small subunit ribosomal RNA
Source: RNAcentral
UACGUAGGGGGCAAGCGUUGUCCGGAAUCAUUGGGCGUAAAGCGCGUGUAGGCGGCUCGGUAAGUCUGCUCUGAAAGUCCAAGGCUCAACCUUGGGAUGCGGGUGGAUACUGCCGGGCUCGAGUCCGGAAGAGGCGAGUGGAAUUCCUGGUGUAGCGGUGAAAUGCGCAGAUAUCAGGAAGAACACCCGUGGCGAAGGCGGCUCUCUGGGACGGUACUGACGCUGAGACGCGAAAGCGUGGGGAGCGAACAGG